CUAGAUGGUGGGGUAAAGGCCUACCAUGGCGACGAUCUGUAGCUGGUCUGAGAGGAUGAUCAGCCACACCGGGACUGAGACACGGCCCGGACUCCUACGGGAGGCAGCAGUGGGGAAUAUUGGACAAUGGGGGCAACCCUGACCCAGCCAUGCCGCGUGUGUGAAGAAGGCCUUUUGGUUCGUAAAGCACUUUAAGCAGUGAAGAAGACUCCAUGGUUAAUACCCAUGGACGAUGACAUUAGCUGCAGAAUAAGCACCGGCUAACUCUGUGCCAGCAGCCGCGGUAAUACAGAGGGUGCAAGCGUUAAUCGGAAUUACUGGGCGUAAAGCGAGCGUAGGUGGCUUGAUAAGUCAGAUGUGAAAUCCCCGGGCUUAACCUGGGAACUGCAUCUGAUACUGUUAGGCUAGAAUAGGUGAGAGGAAGGUAGAAUUCCAGGUGUAGCGGUGAAAUGCGUAGAGAUCUGGAGGAAUACCGAUGGCGAARGCAGCCUUCUGGCAUCAUAUUGACACUGAGGUUCGAAAGCGUGGGUAGCAAACAGGAUUAGAUACCCUGGUAGUCCACGCCGUAAACGAUGUCUACUAGUCGUUGGGUCCCUUGAGGACUUAGUGACGCAGCUAACGCAAUAAGUAGACCGCCUGGGGAGUACGGCCGCAAGGUUAAAACUCAAAUGAAUUGACGGGGGCCCGCACAAGCGGUGGAGCAUGUGGUUUAAUUCGAUGCAACGCGAAGAACCUUACCUGGUCUUGACAUAUCUAGAAUCCUGCAGAGAUGCGGGAGUGCCUUCGGGAAUUAGAAUACAGGUGCUGCAUGGCUGUCGUCAGCUCGUGUCGUGAGAUGUUGGGUUAAGUCCCGCAACGAGCGCAACCCUUGUCCUUAGUUACCAGCGGGUUAAGCCGGGAACUCUAAGGAUACUGCCAGUGACAAACUGGAGGAAGGCGGGGACGACGUCAAGUCAUCAUGGCCCUUACGACCAGGGCUACACACGUGCUACAAUGGUAGGUACAGAGGGCAGCUACACAGCGAUGUGAUGCGAAUCUCAAAAAGCCUAUCGUAGUCCAGAUUGGAGUCUGCAACUCGACUCCAUGAAGUAGGAAUCGCUAGUAAUCGCGGAUCAGAAUGCCGCGGUGAAUACGUUCCCGGGCCUUGUACACACCGCCCGUCACACCAUGGGAGUUGAUUGCACCAGAAGUGGAUAGCCUAACCGUAAGGAAGGCGUUCACCACGGUGUGGUUGAUGACUGGGGUGAAGUCGUAACAAGGUAA
RNAcentral lists this ribosomal RNA (1263 nucleotides) under uncultured bacterium. Its description in RNAcentral is "bacterial SSU rRNA". It matches the Rfam family "Bacterial small subunit ribosomal RNA", at positions 245 to 1499 of the family's 1533-position model. The record is from RNAcentral.